UUGACUUGCCGGCAAGCCUAACACAUGCAAGUCGAGCGGGGGAGGUAGCUUGCUACCGGACCUAGCGGCGGACGGGUGAGUAAUGCUUAGGAAUCUGCCUAUUAGUGGGGGACAACAUCUCGAAAGGGAUGCUAAUACCGCAUACGUCCUACGGGAGAAAGCAGGGGAUCUUCGGACCUUGCGCUAAUAGAUGAGCCUAAGUCGGAUUAGCUAGUUGGUGGGGUAAAGGCCUACCAAGGCGACGAUCUGUAGCGGGUCUGAGAGGAUGAUCCGCCACACUGGGACUGAGACACGGCCCAGACUCCUACGGGAGGCAGCAGUGGGGAAUAUUGGACAAUGGGGGGAACCCUGAUCCAGCCAUGCCGCGUGUGUGAAGAAGGCCUUAUGGUUGUAAAGCACUUUAAGCGAGGAGGAGGCUACUCUAGUUAAUACCUAGAGAUAGUGGACGUUACUCGCAGAAUAAGCACCGGCUAACUCUGUGCCAGCAGCCGCGGUAAUACAGAGGGUGCGAGCGUUAAUCGGAUUUACUGGGCGUAAAGCGUGCGUAGGCGGCUUAUUAAGUCGGAUGUGAAAUCCCCGAGCUUAACUUGGGAAUUGCAUUCGAUACUGGUGAGCUAGAGUAUGGGAGAGGAUGGUAGAAUUCCAGGUGUAGCGGUGAAAUGCGUAGAGAUCUGGAGGAUACCGAUGGCGAAGGCAGCAUCUGGCUAAUACUGACGCUGAGGUACGAAGCAUGGGGGAGCAAACAGGAUUAGAUACCUUGGUAGUUCCAUA
RNAcentral lists this ribosomal RNA (771 nucleotides) under Acinetobacter baumannii. RNAcentral's name for it is "bacterial SSU rRNA". It matches the Rfam family "Bacterial small subunit ribosomal RNA", at positions 30 to 800 of the family's 1533-position model. Lineage: Bacteria; Pseudomonadati; Pseudomonadota; Gammaproteobacteria; Moraxellales; Moraxellaceae. The record is from RNAcentral.